AGUGGGUGAUCGAGAACGAGGAAGAGAGAAAGAGGCGAGAAAUUGUCUCCGUUCAAAUUUUGGAGUGUGAAUCUGGUGGCUGGGAUCCUUGACAGAAGGCUCUAGUUUACUGCACAAAACAAGGUAAGCUACUCGUCUAUUUUAUUUUCGUAAUCUGGUUCCAUGUGUCUGAAGAAUAAUGUUCUCGCUCUGGUUCAGACGUGGACUUGGAUUUGGUCUCGUAUGAAAUUUUAAUAUCAUGAGAACGUGCUAUCUCUUUUCGCCUGCUAUCGGGCAUAGUAGCGAAGUUUAUUUUGAAUAAUGUUAUGUUGGGAGUAGCGAACGUGUGUUCGGCUUGGCUGUGUGGCCGAGCAAUCGAAAAAAUGUACAAUAGGGCCACGUUUAGGCUUGUUCCGAGUUUGAGUUCCUAUUAACGUCGUUGUUUUGUAAUCAAGUUUAAAGACGGAUUUCAUACCAAGAUUUCAUUCCGUGGGCUUUGGCGGAUAAACUGUGCAACAUGUUUGAAGAUCCUUUCUUUAUUUUGCCUCCCUUGCUCCUCUUUGGUCGUUUUGAAUAGGCAAAUAUGUAGUGGAAUAUGUUUGGAAUCUGUUUUUGGCCCUAUCAACUGAGUUUAUGAACACAGUUAUAUUCUGAGCUUCCAUUGUUUUCAACGUGUGCAAAUUCCACCACAUAUUCAUCUCUUUUUCUCUUGUUUUGAUUUUCUUGUCGUGGUUAUGUGAUCAACUCAUAUUGUGCGCGUGAUGUUUAAAACUAAGUAUCACACAUGAAUACUUACAUAUGUGACCCAUUUUUUCUUUAUUCGCGCGUGACGACUCCCGAAAGUGAGUUCGAGUCCAAUUUUAUUUUGAAUACAUGGUUGUUAUCUUAAAAUUCAUGUUGUAACCAUUGUUCGCCCAGAGUCUGCAAAUGUAUGAAAGUCGCAUAAUGUGUUAAUAUGUGGAGAUCCAUGAAAUGUGUCUGUAUAUUCACUUUAUUGCUUUCAACAAAGUAGUCUCAUGUGCACGUGUCCAAUUAAAUCUUAGUUUGUCGUGCUUUUCAACUGAAUAUGGAGAGUAACUUAAAAUUCCACCUUCUCUCUUUUCCGAUAUGAUAACAAUACUGUACACUUAUUUUCUUCAAAACAUUUUUAGCAGGAGUCGGCUCUAGAAUUUAAACUCAUUAAUUUGACCCAUUGUGCGACCUUGAAGGAGUUGUCUUCCUAUUUGUUUAACAUACUUGAAGUAAUGAAUUAAAUGAGUUUUCCAUUUGAAUUUUGUUAUAAUUGUAUCUGUGAGAAGAAAGCUUACAUGGUAAUACUACGAUAACCAUUUUGAUAAGAACGGCUUAUUAGUAGGUAUCUGUGUAUUAGUUAAAUUAUCCUAUUACUUUAUAUAAAGAAAGAAGGUUGAAUAUCAUAUCCCAGUAAAAUUCAAUUCAUACACCGUGUUUAUGCUUAUAUAUUUAAUAUAUUAUUCACAUGGUCUUUUCCCUUUUGAACCUUUUAAAACUUAAGGAUUUACUUUUAUCACCACUAUUAGCCUUGGAAAAGCUUAAUUUUUAUUUACUUUUAUCACCACUAUUAGCCUUGGAAAAGCUUAAUUUUUAUGUGUUAUGUGUCAGGCUGUCAUUUUCUAAAGAAGCAUUUUCCUUAGAGCAUUUCUAUCACAGUUAUUUGUUUUAGAUACAAAUUACUAGUUUCUUGUUAGAGCCAUUAAUUUCCAAAAGUAGUCUGCACCACUAAUGUCCUAGUGACGUUCAUUUAUAUUCUUUAGUCAUAAUAUUUUUUAAUAUAUUUUUUAAUCGAUUCCUAACUUUACCACUUUUCUAUUUCAUGUGAACUCCAG
Molecule: long non-coding RNA, 1823 nt
Filed under: Capsicum annuum
Lineage: Eukaryota; Viridiplantae; Streptophyta; Magnoliopsida; Solanales; Solanaceae
Description: long non-coding RNA (CANN_LNC010986)
Source: RNAcentral